RNAcentral lists this ribosomal RNA (466 nucleotides) under uncultured bacterium. RNAcentral's name for it is "partial 16S ribosomal RNA". It matches the Rfam family "Bacterial small subunit ribosomal RNA", at positions 338 to 795 of the family's 1533-position model. The record is from RNAcentral.
CCUACGGGAGGCAGCAGUGGGGAAUAUUGCGCAAUGGGCGAAAGCCUGACGCAGCGACGCCGCGUGAGGGAUGAAGGUCUUCGGAUCGUAAACCUCUGUCAGCAGGGAAGAACGGUCACUGUGCUAAUCAGCAGUGAAUUGACGGUACCUGCAAAGGAAGCACCGGCUAACUCCGUGCCAGCAGCCGCGGUAAUACGGCGGGUGCGAGCGUUAAUCGGGAUUACUGGGCGUAAAGCGCUCGUAGGCUGGGAGGUAAGUCAGCGGGGAAAUGCCCCCGCUCAACGGGGUGAAGUGCCAUUGAUACUGCCUGGCUGGAAUGCGGAAGCCGUGGGAGGAAUGUGUGGUGUAGCGGUGAAAUGCAUAGAUAUCACACAGAACACCGAUUGCGAAGGCAUCUCACGAAUCCGCGAUUGACGCUGAUGCACGAAAGCGUGGGUAUCAAACAGGAUUAGAUACCCGAGUAGUC